ACGAACGCUGGCGGCGUGCUUCACACAUGCAAGUCGAGCGGAAAGGCCCUGCUUUUGUGGGGUGCUCGAGUGGCGAACGGGUGAGUAACACGUGAGUAACCUGCCCUUGACUUUGGGAUAACUUCAGGAAACUGGGGCUAAUACCGGAUAGGAGCUCCUGCUGCAUGGUGGGGGUUGGAAAGUUUCGGCGGUUGGGGAUGGACUCGCGGCUUAUCAGCUUGUUGGUGGGGUAGUGGCUUACCAAGGCUUUGACGGGUAGCCGGCCUGAGAGGGUGACCGGCCACAUUGGGACUGAGAUACGGCCCAGACUCCUACGGGAGGCAGCAGUGGGGAAUAUUGCACAAUGGGCGGAAGCCUGAUGCAGCAACGCCGCGUGCGGGAUGAAGGCCUUCGGGUUGUAAACCGCUUUCGCCUGUGACGAAGCGUGAGUGACGGUAAUGGGUAAAGAAGCACCGGCUAACUACGUG
RNAcentral lists this ribosomal RNA (467 nucleotides) under uncultured bacterium. Its description in RNAcentral is "partial 16S ribosomal RNA". It matches the Rfam family "Bacterial small subunit ribosomal RNA", at positions 29 to 507 of the family's 1533-position model. The record is from RNAcentral.